Molecule: ribosomal RNA, 278 nt
Filed under: uncultured bacterium
Lineage: Bacteria
Description: partial 16S ribosomal RNA
Rfam family: Bacterial small subunit ribosomal RNA
Source: RNAcentral
GAACGGUAGCACAAGGGAGCUUGCUCCCUGGGUGACGAGUGGCGGACGGGUGAGUAAUGCUUGGGAAUCUGGCUCAUGGAGGGGGAUAACUACGGGAAACUGUAGCUAAUACCGCGUAAUAUCUUCGGAUUAAAGUGUGGGACCGCAAGGCCACAUGCCAUGAGAUGAGCCCAAGUGGGAUUAGGUAGUUGGUGGGGUAAAGGCCUACCAAGCCGACGAUCUCUAGCUGGUCUGAGAGGAUGACCAGCCACACUGGAACUGAGACACGGUCCAGACUC